This 1304-nucleotide long non-coding RNA is filed under the name Parus major (Great Tit). RNAcentral's name for it is "lncRNA (ENSPMJG00000018708.1)". The record is from RNAcentral. Lineage: Eukaryota; Metazoa; Chordata; Aves; Passeriformes; Paridae.
AACAUGCUUUAUUGCCUGCUUUUUAGUUUUUGCAUCUUUAACAUACUUCUCCACUUAUAUUCAAGCAUAUGUUUGUUUUUUCUUUAGAAAAAAAAGAAAACUGCACACAGUUCAGAUUGUGUCUGUGAAAGUGUAAUUCUGCAUGAGCAGGGAACAGCCACAGGCCAAGUCAGCAACUUUCAACACAGCUGGCAUCAGGGAUUCCACAGACUAUGGUCCUUUUGUUACCAGAGCUGAAGGACGUCAAAUAUUUCGCUCAUUUGACUAGCACAUGUUAUUUUACCCUACUUGGAUUUUAUGCAGUCUAAGCCUUUAGUCUGAAACAGAGAGGAAGUUUUUAAAAUUUGUAAUUUUAUAUUUCCAAAUGUGACUGAAGGAUCAAACAUUAAUCCACCACAAUAAGCAAACUGAAAUGAUUGCUCUGACAACAUGUUCGUGUUCUAAAAUUUUCAUCAUGAGGUUUGUAGUAAGUUGUAUCUUUUUUAAUCAGCCAUUUUUAUCAGACUUUCUUCAACAGAAAACAUAGAGGAGAUGGAAAAGCCACACAAGAAUAUGUUUAAAAGAUCAGAUAUAAAAGGUUUGGCAGCAGAUCUUAAAGGGAAAACCUUUAAUUGAGCAAUGCUGAUUGCAAAUGAAAACAAAAGUUGAAAGAAAAAUGUCACUAUACACUGUCAAAUGUUACUUCAUCAAUAGAGAGCUGCUGAAAUGUCAAACCUGGAGCUGUGCUCAGACACCUCAAUGCCCCACGGCAGCAGGUGCUUGCAAAGGAAGAAGCUCCUGCUUCUUUCUCCCUUUGUGUUUUCAGGUGGAAAACCCAACUUAAAAUCACUUCCUUUCUAACACACUCAGUGUCAAUUAGUGUUUGGAGCAAAUAAUACCAUAAACACAAAGAUCAUUCCUUAUGUUCCUGAGAACAACACAGUCUCCACACGUAGUUACUUGGCACAAGAAGUCACAAUCAUAAAUCACACUUUUAUUACGCAUGGUUUUCCCUUUAUCUUCAGUUAUGCUGCACCCCCAUCCAGGGUUCUUUGGGAGACUCACAUUCCAAGCUUUUCUUCUGCAUAAUACAAUUCUCAAGCUUUCUGCUAGUCAUUCUUGGGCCAAGUCCAGCUGUCUUGCUCAGUAUCCAGCAUCUCUCCAAGAGGAACAUACAAACUUCAGACCCCAACUGUGGGCAAAAGUCACAAAACAGGGCACGGGUGUGCAUGAACAUCCACUCAGAAACCUUCUGGGACUGCUGCCAGUAAAGAAAUAAUCAUGAGAACAGGUUUAUUCAGCAAGAGAAAUGGUACCAGUUGUAC